RNAcentral lists this non-coding RNA (31 nucleotides) under Mus musculus (house mouse). Lineage: Eukaryota; Metazoa; Chordata; Mammalia; Rodentia; Muridae. The record is from RNAcentral.
UAUGGUGUAAGUUUGAGAACUCUGGGCGGGU